Molecule: long non-coding RNA, 151 nt
Organism: Bradysia coprophila
Lineage: Eukaryota; Metazoa; Arthropoda; Insecta; Diptera; Sciaridae
Source: RefSeq, a predicted model, not a curated record
UGUUGAAUGUAAACUACAUAAAACGUUGACUUGAGUAAUUCGCAACGGAAUUCCAGAAACAUUUCUUAUCGGUAGAGUAAUGAAAUUUUGAAUUUCUGGUCUAAUAAUCUAGAAGUACUUUCCAAAAGAGUUUUUGUUUCCUAUCUUUAUA